This 211-nucleotide long non-coding RNA is filed under the name Monodelphis domestica (gray short-tailed opossum). RNAcentral's name for it is "lncRNA (ENSMODG00000051468.1)". The record is from RNAcentral. Lineage: Eukaryota; Metazoa; Chordata; Mammalia; Didelphimorphia; Didelphidae.
AUGGAUCUGGCUAAAGGCGGAGGACUGGCCUUUGAGUUGGGCUCUGCGACUAAACUAGAGCCGUGUGACCUCGGGCAAAGUGAUGGACGCGUCCAAGAUCUCGGUUUCUUUCAGAGGGAGGAGAGAUUUAUCCAAGUCCAGUGGCAAGACAAAAGCCAAGAUGACUGGCAGUGGCCAGGGAUUCAGGAUGACCUUGGCAUCUUCCCUAUCU